This 120-nucleotide ribosomal RNA is filed under the name uncultured bacterium. Its description in RNAcentral is "partial 16S ribosomal RNA". It matches the Rfam family "Bacterial small subunit ribosomal RNA", at positions 796 to 920 of the family's 1533-position model. The record is from RNAcentral.
CGCACAGUAAACGAUGUGCACCAGGCGGCGGGGGCAACCUCGCUGCCGCAGUCAACGCAUUAAGUGCACCGCCUGGGGAGUAUGCCCGCAAGGGUGAAACUCAAAGGAAUUGACGGGGGC